GACGAACGCUGGCGGCGUGCUUAACACAUGCAAGUCGAACGGUAAGGCCCUUCGGGGUACACGAGUGGCGAACGGGUGAGUAACACGUGGGUGAUCUGCCCUGCACUUCGGGAUAAGCCUGGGAAACUGGGUCUAAUACCGGAUAGGACCACUGCCUGCAUGGGUGGUGGUGGAAAGCUUUUGCGGUGUGGGAUGGGCCCGCGGCCUAUCAGCUUGUUGGUGGGGUGAUGGCCUACCAAGGCGACGACGGGUAGCCGGCCUGAGAGGGUGACCGGCCACACUGGAACUGAGAGACGGCCCAGACUCCUACGGGAGGCAGCAGUGGGGAAUAUUGCACAAUGGACGCAAGCCUGAUGCAGCGACGCCGCGUGAGGGAUGACGGCCUUCGGGUUGUAAACCCCUUUCAGCACCGACGAAGCGCAAGUGACGGUAGGUGCAGAAGAAGGACCGGCCAACUACGUGCCAGCAGCCGCCGUAA
This 478-nucleotide ribosomal RNA is filed under the name uncultured bacterium. RNAcentral's name for it is "partial 16S ribosomal RNA". It matches the Rfam family "Bacterial small subunit ribosomal RNA", at positions 28 to 523 of the family's 1533-position model. The record is from RNAcentral.